GAUUCUUGAUGUCACUUUGUGCUGCCAACUCUUGACGUAGCCAUCAGUGCUAGAUUAGGAGGGGUGCUUGCUUGCUUACUACCCAUUGAGCACCUGCUGGGCACUUUAUAUGCAUUGUCUCAUUUGAUCUUUAUGACCCUCUUCUGGGUGGUGGGCUGGUGGAUCAGACCCUGCAGCUGACAUACCAACUCUACCAUCUUGAUUCUUACAGAUUACACAGACAGAGGUCCAGCAAGGACAGCAGCAGUUCAGCCAGUUCACAGAUGGACAGAGGAACAGCGUGCAGCAAGCUCGAGUCUCUGAGCUAACGGGAGAGGCAGAGCCCAGAGAAGUGAAAGCCACAGGAAAUUCAACUCCCUGCACCUCUUCCCUGCCCACCACACACCCCCCCUCACACCGGGCUGGUGCCUCCUGUGUCUGCUGCUCCCAACCCCAGCAGAGCUCCACUUCCCCUCCUCCUUCUGACGCCUUGCAGUGGGUGGUGGUUGAGGUAUCUGGGACCCCCAACCAGCUCGAGACCCAUAGGGAGCUGCAUGCCCCUCUCCCAGGGGUGACCUCACUCUCUCCUCUCCACCCCUCGCAGCAGCUCUACCAGAUCCAGCAAGUCACCAUGCCUGCGGGCCAGGACCUCGCCCAGCCCAUGUUCAUCCAGUCAGCCAACCAGCCCUCCGACGGGCAGGCCCCCCAGGUGACCGGCGACUGAGGGCCUGAGCUGGCAAGGCCAAGGACACCCAACACAAUUUUUGCCAUACAGCCCCAGGCAAUGGGCACAGCCUUCCUCCCCAGAGGACCCGGCCGACCUCAGCGCCUCCUGCAGGCUAGGACACUGGUGCACUACACCCCACGCCUGGGGGCCGAGAUUCUCCAGCAGAAAGAUGCAAUAUUUUUUGUUUCCUUUUUUUCCAUUUUUUUCUCCAAGGAAUCAAUAUUUCAAUAUGUUGAGUGUGUGUCCAAUGCUAUGAAAUUAAAAUAUUAAAUAACAUAUUUAUGGCAUUUUCUUGAAGAGUGUGGUUGAAGAAAUAUUUCUCCUUUUGUUUUUCUUUUUUUGUUUGUUACUGCCACUUCUUUUUAGGAGCAAAUCUCCCCAGGGGUGUACGGUAUUUCUUGACUCUGGGAACAGCUGCUACCCCCAAGACUUGCCACGUUGUUCUGCCCUCAGAUGGAAUUAGGUGAAUGUGUGUAGCUGCUUUUUCACUCGUGGUCCUCUCCCCAUCCCUUGCUCUGACCCCAGAGCUCUGUGUAUUUGCAUCCAGAGGCCAUGGAAACAUUCUUUGCAUUUAAGAGACAGAUUUAUUCCCUGUGGAGAGUGGGUGGAUUCAUUGCCACACUCUUUUCUCCCAGGGACCCAGGAAACUAGGACUUUGUGUGUUUGCUGCCCACCUCCCUUUUAUUUUUUCAACGCAUUAAAAAUUGUGCUAGUCUCCUUUGCAUGGACUUCAAGCUGCAUGAAAU
This 1452-nucleotide long non-coding RNA is filed under the name Pan troglodytes (chimpanzee). Its description in RNAcentral is "long non-coding RNA NONPTRT000209". The record is from RNAcentral. Lineage: Eukaryota; Metazoa; Chordata; Mammalia; Primates; Hominidae.